UAAGGAUUAUGUUUAAAAUAAAAAUAUUUGGCGGCUAUUUAUAUUAAAGGGAUUUGCUUUUUAUCGACUUACCUCGUUUAUUAUUAUUUAGUUUGUUUUUGUAUACCGUCAUUUAGAUAAUUUUUAUAUAAUUAAUUAUGGUUAUAAUUUUCUAGAUAUUAGAUCAAGGUGCAGAUAUAGUUAACUUCAAGUUAAUGACAAUAAUUUAUUAUUAAACAGUAUUUAUAUAAUUAAUUAAAAUAGGUGGAUUUAAGUGUAAUAUAUAAAAUAUUUGAAUUAAAUUAGUAGUGUACACA
RNAcentral lists this ribosomal RNA (296 nucleotides) under Niphargus pasquinii. RNAcentral describes it as "partial 12S ribosomal RNA". Lineage: Eukaryota; Metazoa; Arthropoda; Malacostraca; Amphipoda; Niphargidae. The record is from RNAcentral.